ACGCUGGCGGCGUGCCUAAUACAUGCAAGUAGAACGCUGAAGCUUGGUGCUUGCACCGAGCGGAGGAGUUGCGAACGGGUGAGUAACGCGUAGGUAACCUGCCUCUUAGCGGGGGAUAACUAUUGGAAACGAUAGCUAAUACCGCAUAAAAGUCGACAUUGCAUGAUGUUGACUUGAAAGGUGCAACUGCAUCACUAAGAGAUGGACCUGCGUUGUAUUAGCUAGUUGGUGAGGUAACGGCUCACCAAGGCGACGAUACAUAGCCGACCUGAGAGGGUGAUCGGCCACACUGGGACUGAGACACGGCCCAGACUCCUACGGGAGGCAGCAGUAGGGAAUCUUCGGCAAUGGACGGAAGUCUGACCGAGCAACGCCGCGUGAGUGAAGAAGGUUUUCGGAUCGUAAAGCUCUGUUGUAAGAGAAGAACGAGUGUGAGAGUGGAAAGUUCACACUGUGACGGUAACUUACCAGAAAGGGACGGCUAACUACGUGCCAGCAGCCGCGGUAAUACGUAGGUCCCGAGCGUUAUCCGGAUUUAUUGGGCGUAAAGCGAGCGCAGGCGGUUAGAUAAGUCUGAAGUUAAAGGCUGUGGCUUAACCAUAGUACGCUUUGGAAACUGUUUAACUUGAGUGCAGAAGGGGAGAGUGGAAUUCCAUGUGUAGCGGUGAAAUGCGUAGAUAUAUGGAGGAACACCGGUGGCGAAAGCGGCUCUCUGGUCUGUAACUGACGCUGAGGCUCGAAAGCGUGGGGAGCAAACAGGAUUAGAUACCCUGGUAGUCCACGCCGUAAACGAUGAGUGCUAGGUGUUGGGUCCUUUCCGGGACUCAGUGCCGCAGCUAACGCAUUAAGCACUCCGCCUGGGGAGUACGACCGCAAGGUUGAAACUCAAAGGAAUUGACGGGGGCCCGCA
Molecule: ribosomal RNA, 910 nt
Filed under: uncultured bacterium
Lineage: Bacteria
Description: bacterial SSU rRNA
Rfam family: Bacterial small subunit ribosomal RNA
Source: RNAcentral